This 492-nucleotide ribosomal RNA is filed under the name uncultured bacterium. Its description in RNAcentral is "partial 16S ribosomal RNA". It matches the Rfam family "Bacterial small subunit ribosomal RNA", at positions 29 to 507 of the family's 1533-position model. The record is from RNAcentral.
AGUGAACGCUGGCGGUAGGCCUAACACAUGCAAGUCGAACGGCAGCACAGUAAGAGCUUGCUCUUACGGGUGGCGAGUGGCGGACGGGUGAGGAAUACAUCGGAAUCUACUUUUUCGUGGGGGAUAACGUAGGGAAACUUACGCUAAUACCGCAUACGACCUACGGGUGAAAGCAGGGGAUCUUCGGACCUUGCGCGAUUGAAUGAGCCGAUGUCGGAUUAGCUAGUUGGCGGGGUAAAGGCCCACCAAGGCGACGAUCCGUAGCUGGUCUGAGAGGAUGAUCAGCCACACUGGAACUGAGACACGGUCCAGACUCCUACGGGAGGCAGCAGUGGGGAAUAUUGGACAAUGGGCGCAAGCCUGAUCCAGCCAUACCGCGUGGGUGAAGAAGGCCUUCGGGUUGUAAAGCCCUUUUGUUGGGAAAGAAAAGCAGCAGGUUAAUACCCCGCUGUUCUGAAGGUACCCAAAGAAUAAGCACCGGCUAACUUCGUG